CAGGAGGUAGUUUAAUUGAAAAUAUUAGUUUUGGGAACUAAUGAUAAGGAAAUUCCUUUCUCUUGA
This 66-nucleotide transfer RNA is filed under the name Gasterophilus nasalis. RNAcentral describes it as "tRNA-Pro". It matches the Rfam family "tRNA". From Rfam's summary of the family: Transfer RNA (tRNA) molecules are approximately 80 nucleotides in length. Their secondary structure includes four short double-helical elements and three loops (D, anti-codon, and T loops). Lineage: Eukaryota; Metazoa; Arthropoda; Insecta; Diptera; Oestridae. The record is from RNAcentral.